RNAcentral lists this ribosomal RNA (253 nucleotides) under uncultured bacterium. RNAcentral describes it as "partial 16S ribosomal RNA". It matches the Rfam family "Bacterial small subunit ribosomal RNA", at positions 524 to 776 of the family's 1533-position model. The record is from RNAcentral.
UACGUAGGGUGCGAGCGUUGUCCGGAAUUAUUGGGCGUAAAGGGCUCGUAGGCGGUCUGUCGCGUCGAAAGUGAAAACUCAGGGCUUAACCCUGAGCCUGCUUCCGAUACGGGCAGACUAGAGGUAUGCAGGGGAGAACGGAAUUCCAGGUGUAGCGGUGAAAUGCGUAGAUAUCUGGAGGAACACCGGUGGCGAAGGCGGCAUCCUGGACCGGCAUUGACGCUGAGGCGCGAAAGCCAGGGGAGCAAACGGG